Molecule: long non-coding RNA, 347 nt
Filed under: Pan troglodytes (chimpanzee)
Lineage: Eukaryota; Metazoa; Chordata; Mammalia; Primates; Hominidae
Description: long non-coding RNA NONPTRT010480
Source: RNAcentral
UUGCCAACAACUAUGUGAGGGGGGCAGUGGACCUUCCCCUGGGUGAGCCUCCAGAUGAGAACCAAGCUCCAGACAACACCUGCAUUGCAGCCUGUCAUACCCUAAGCAGAGGACCCAGCUAAACUGCGCCCAAACUUCUGACCUACAAACACUCUAAAUUUUCUUGUUUCUAGUCACUAAGUUUAUGGUAAUUUGUUAUUUAUACAAUAUGAUUUCAUAAUCAAAAAUCCUUUAAUGGAUAAGAUAGUGAAAUGGAGACUGGAAAUGAUAUAGAAAGUACUAUGGAAAUAGGAGAAACUUGCAGUAAUUACUCAAGAGGAAGAGUAAUCAUUUAAAACUUUAACAAA